RNAcentral lists this ribosomal RNA (302 nucleotides) under Ostertagia environmental sample. Its description in RNAcentral is "eukaryotic LSU rRNA". The stretch from base 231 to 302 matches the Rfam family "Eukaryotic large subunit ribosomal RNA", at positions 1 to 75 of the family's 3401-position model. The record is from RNAcentral. Lineage: Eukaryota; Metazoa; Nematoda; Chromadorea; Rhabditida; Trichostrongylidae.
GGAAUUCGGUGUGGGCUACACAUAACACUGUUUGUCGAAUGGUAUUUAUCACUUCAUUGUGAUAACUCCCAUUUCAGUUCAUGAAUGACACAUGCAACAUAACGUUAACGAUAUUAACGUUCCUGAAUGAUAUGAAUGUAUUACCACUAUUUGAAUGUACUCAAUGAAUAUGAGAUUGAUUUGAAUAGAGACAUGUAUGGUAUUGUAUGUUCAAUAUAUCAUUUGUAUUGCAACCUGAGCUCAGGCGUGAUUACCCGCUGAACUUAAGCAUAUCAUUUAGCGGAGGAAAGAAACUAAAUGAU